AUUGAGUGAAGUCAUUUUCUUCUCCUUGGUUGUGUUGGUUGAUUGCCUUCUUCUUAGUGCCACAUGGAGUGUGUCAAGUGUCUUCGCAUUUCACAGGGGAGACUGAAUGAAAGCUGCAGGAGUAUCAUGAAGAGCUCACUCAUUGAGUCAGCUGAACAACCGUUUUUGUUCUGUGUAUCAAAUCACCAGUGUCUGACCCCCUUUAAAUCAAACCUGUACCCAGUCUCUUGUAACCAGGUGUAUUCUUUACCCACUGAGCCACCUGGGAAGCAACAACAAACAUUUCAACCUUGGAAAAGAGAAGAUAUGCUUAAAUUACACCUGCUUGUAUGUUCUCAGUGUGUCUGAAACUAUAGUUGUCAAUUUAUUAUGUUGAGGUCUAAUUAGUCGUCAAUAAUUUAAAAAAUACUAUAUUACAUUAAGACUAUGGUACAGUUCUCAGAAAAGGGCCACUUGGGAAGGCCAUAAGCAGCUGAAGGAAAUCCGUUCUAAUGAAUUGGUAUUCCAUAGCAGUUAUUGUUUAGGUACACACUGUAACACUUGUUCAGUGUUUGUUUUUUUUUUUUUUUUAAUGGUUUGAGCAUAGCUCCUUAAUUCAGUUUAGGAGUAAGAUCUUAAAUGCCCAUUCUUAUCUGGAGUCUUUUUGUUACCUUUCACAAAUCAAUCUGCCUUUUGCUCACUCUGUGAUCUAACUCCAUCAUUUAAGUCAUUCCUAUUUUAUCUUUUUGUUUCUCAAGGAGUUAUUUCAGUUUUGAGGAGUUAUAUUAGGGCCAGGAUUGCAGCAGGAUUUUGCUUUUGAAAUAUAUAAUAAUAUGAAUAAUUUUGUGAUACAUUAGUGUUCAGAUUACUUUGGGAAGAUUUGUGUCGCUAAACGUAAUAAAAAU
Molecule: long non-coding RNA, 884 nt
Filed under: Cervus hanglu yarkandensis (Yarkand deer)
Lineage: Eukaryota; Metazoa; Chordata; Mammalia; Artiodactyla; Cervidae
Description: lncRNA (ENSCHYG00000026627.1)
Source: RNAcentral